This 1833-nucleotide long non-coding RNA is filed under the name Pan paniscus (pygmy chimpanzee). Its description in RNAcentral is "lncRNA (ENSPPAG00000045135.1)". Lineage: Eukaryota; Metazoa; Chordata; Mammalia; Primates; Hominidae. The record is from RNAcentral.
UGUGUUCCUUCCCCACGUGUGCUGCUGUCCCCACAAAAAAUGCAUUUCGGAUGCUGAAUAUCCACGCCUCACGGUGCUCUGGUGACUAGGGGGAUCCCUGUGAGAUGGGGGCUUUCCAGCAACCUAGAUAAUGAAACCACAGAGCAGCCUUCCCCUGCGGUGACCUAGUUCUUAAUUCCUGUAGUUUCAACACUCAUCACAGCAGAAUUCUGAUGAGGCUGGGCUCUUUCGCAGCUGGCAUUUGAUGAGAAAAGGGAAUUGAAAUGUAGGUGAUUGAUUUGGACCUGGAGAAGCUGAUUGGAUGUCACCCUGUUCUUCCCGACAAUGGGGACCGGUCUGUGCAAAGGGGACUUCCUGUGACCCCUGCGGGUCCACCGGAAGUUCUGAUUUCUCCCAGUGGAAUAGGGGCGCGAAGGCUGCCCUGUCACACACGGCCCAAGAGAUUGAUUACCUGGGCUCUGGCAGCCUCUCUGGGACUCACUUGACAGGGGCACUCACUCUUUCUUGGAAGAUACUUCUUAACUGCAUGUGGGAUGACAACCAAUCUGAAGCGUGACCAUCGGGAAUUACAAGGAAGCAGCACUCAUCAAAACAGCGAUGUGAAACUCCGUCUGUCCCCCUUUCUUACAAAUGGCAGUAACUGUAUUGAAGGAGGCCAGUGUGAGUUUCCCUGCUAAGGUGGGCUGAGAUGCUGGGCUUUAGGUGGAAGUGGCAGAAAGAAAGAAUACUUCUAUUUUGCUGAGGUGGUUCUUUUCUUGGAGUGAGUAAGGGGUAGUUGCUAGUUAACAGAAACAAAGGAUGAGAUAGUGCUACAGAGAGAGCACCUGGGUGUGUGUCCCCGUGUACAUAUGUGAAGAGAGAGUAACUGUUUCCCCUUUCAUAUAGAAUUAUUUGAUUUUGCCCACAUGUGUAUAGGGACAUGCUUAAUGCACUGUCAAUGAACCCAUGACUGUGUCAUUUCUGGUUCACCAGAAUAUAUCAGGCAUGUUCUCAACUGAGUGCCAAGUACCAUGGAAAGCCUGCAGUGAAAGUUCUUGCUUUCUGUUACUCUGGCGAGGAAAGCCAGUAAUGAUCAUGACCUUAGCUGAGAUCCAGACAACAGAAGAGGACCAGUGCUGACGGCUCCUCACAUGGGUUUGCUUGGGCUUUGAGGGAUGACUGAGAAUGUCUUCAAUUUUUUUUUUUUUUGAGACAGAGUCUUGCUCUUGUCGCCCAUGCUGGAGUGCAAUGGCGUGAUGUCGGCUCACUGCAACCUCCGCCUCCAGGUUUAAGUGAUUCUCCUGCCUUAGCCUCCCAAGUAGCUAAGACUGCAGGCACGCGCCACCAUGCCCAGCUAAUUUUUUAUUUUUAGUAGAGAUGGGGUUUCACCACGUCAGGCUGGUCUUGAACUCUUGACCUCAGGUGAUCCACCCACCUCGGCCUCCCAAAGUGCUGGGAUUACUGGUGUGAGCCACUGGCUGAGAAUGUCUUCAAUUUAAUGGAGAAAAUCUGAAAACAGUGCCCAAUGAUAGUGUGGAAGGAUGUGAUAAUAUUUUAAUAUGGACUUUAUACACACAUUUGCUUUUAUCUGAGUAAUUAGGGCUAGCGAAAGGUUUAAUGAGUACUGAGCACGUAGUAACAGUGCACGAGCUGAAUAGUCGGGCAGCUGGCCUGGAUGCACUGGGGCUUUUUCUUUUUAGUUCACUGGAAGUCGAGUCUUCUUUCCAUAAUGUCUAUAGUGCUGAACAAUAAGAUUGGUUCUAAACUGAAGUUAGAAUGUCUAAGUGUUCAGCCCAAGCGUAUUAGAAAAAUUACUUUGGUAGGACACUUACUUUCUCCUGAAAUGCUGUUGGG